Lethenteron reissneri (Far Eastern brook lamprey) is the source of this 1004-nucleotide long non-coding RNA. RefSeq lists it as uncharacterized. NCBI's taxonomy places the organism in Eukaryota, Metazoa, Chordata, Hyperoartia, Petromyzontiformes, Petromyzontidae. The record is from RefSeq and is a predicted model, not a curated record.
CCGAAUUCUAAAGACAAAAAAUACCCCUUCUUGUUAUGUUGGUUGCCGACCCCAACGAGCGAGACGAACCGUUGGCAUCGAGAAACGGCAAGAGAUGGCGACAGCUUUGGGAGCGCUGCAUUCCAGCAGUGAGCUGCGCUCGGAGGAAGCAACAACUACCGCUACACGAACCCACCACGCACGUUCUGCGAGCCAGAAAACGUGUGUCGAGCACUACCCUCAAGGUGCAGGGGACGCUGCCAUGGCGUUCUCGCCCAGUGCGCUGGACCCGCAGUCCAGAAGUCGCCGAUUCGAUCUCCUUAACGCGGAAGACGAAGGGACGCUGCAAGUUUGACGAGUCCACGGGCUCAGCCUCGAUCCGCACGACAAUAAAAAAGGGGGCCGUGUGUGUAAACCUGAAGACCUCGCUGCUAUGCGGAAAGGUGCAGAUUCCGUCCGCAGACUCACUGCCAGGACGAACGCCGGGUGGGUGACACGCUCAUCCCACGGCGGGUCAGGCGACCGCCUGGCACAUCCGCCAUGCGCGCUUCCACUGCCGCUCUUACGAGAUGUAUUGUACACAAAAAAAAUGUGAAAGUAAUUUACAGUCACUGUUAAUCCACUGCCGGAUGAAGGCCUCACCAUGGGUUGAUUGUGGGGUUUUUUUCCAUGAAAAAUUACGUAAUUUGUUUUACCAUAAAUUAUUUUUACAUACUUUGCCACGCUGGUGAAGGUGGCAGGCCCAGGACUGAUUCAGAUAUCACUCGCCACGGAUGUUUAGCCCUGGCCAGGAAUCGAAGUCGGUACUGUAAAAGUGGUUUAUAUUACAUAAUUCCAGUUUUUUUGGUAACCAUAAUGACAGUGGGCGGUUGUUUAAGACGAGCGGUGUAAUGAUGCAUCGAUACAUAGAUGAGGAUUGAUCGUUAAGCGUGUGAUACAUGCAUUAAAUGACGUGUGAAGGAAGAGAUGUUUUUAGAUUCCUAAAUUACGUGUCAUGUCCGAUAAAACGUCCACCGUGGAGAAGG